AGAGUUUGAUCCUGGCUCAGGAUGAACGCUGGCGGCGUGCUUAACACAUGCAAGUCGAGCGAAGCAGUUAAGUUGAUUUCUUCGGAUUGAUUCUUAACUGACUGAGCGGCGGACGGGUGAGUAACGCGUGGGUGACCUGCCCCAUACCGGGGGAUAACAGCUGGAAACGGCUGCUAAUACCGCAUAAGCGCACAGAGCUGCAUGGCUCGGUGUGAAAAGCUCCGGUGGUAUGGGAUGGGCCCGCGUCUGAUUAGGCAGUUGGCGGGGUAACGGCCCACCAAACCGACGAUCAGUAGCCGGCCUGAGAGGGCGACCGGCCACAUUGGGACUGAGACACGGCCCAAACUCCUACGGGAGGCAGCAGUGGGGAAUAUUGCACAAUGGGGGAAACCCUGAUGCAGCGACGCCGCGUGAGCGAAGAAGUAUUUCGGUAUGUAAAGCUCUAUCAGCAGGGAAGAUAAUGACGGUACCUGACUAAGAAGCCCCGGCUAACUACGUGCCAGCAGCCGCGGUAAUACGUAGGGGGCAAGCGUUAUCCGGAUUUACUGGGUGUAAAGGGAGCGUAGACGGCAAGGCAAGUCUGAUGUGAAAACCCAGGGCUUAACCCUGGGACUGCAUUGGAAACUGUCUGGCUCGAGUGCCGGAGAGGUAAGCGGAAUUCCUAGUGUAGCGGUGAAAUGCGUAGAUAUUAGGAAGAACACCAGCGGCGAAGGCGGCCUACUGGGCACCAACUGACGCUGAGGCUCGAAAGUGUGGGUAGCAAACAGGAUUAGAUACCCUGGUAGUCCACACCGUAAACGAUGAUUACUAGGUGUUGGGAGAUUGACCCUCUCAGUGCCGCAGUUAACACAAUAAGUAAUCCACCUGGGGAGUACGACCGCAAGGUUGAAACUCAAAGGAAUUGACGGGGGCCCGCACAAGCAGUGGAGUAUGUGGUUUAAUUCGACGCAACGCGAAGAACCUUACCAAGUCUUGACAUCCCUUGACGAUGCUGGAAACAGUAUUUCUCUUCGGAGCAAGGAGACAGGUGGUGCAUGGUUGUCGUCAGCUCGUGUCGUGAGAUGUUGGGUUAAGUCCCGCAACGAGCGCAACCCUUAUGGUCAGUUACUACGCAAGAGGACUCUGGCCAGACUGCCGUUGACAAAACGGAGGAAGGUGGGGAUGACGUCAAAUCAUCAUGCCCUUUAUGACUUGGGCUACACACGUACUACAAUGGCGUUAAACAAAGAGAAGCAAGACCGCGAGGUGGAGCAAAACUCAGAAACAACGUCCCAGUUCGGACUGCAGGCUGCAACUCGCCUGCACGAAGUCGGAAUUGCUAGUAAUCGUGGAUCAGCAUGCCACGGUGAAUACGUUCCCGGGCCUUGGACACACCGCCCGUCACACCAUGAGAGCCGGGGGGACCCGAAGUCGGUAGUCUAACCGCAAGGAGGACGCCGCCGAAGGUAAAACUGGUGAUUGGGGUGAAGUCGUAACAAGGUA
RNAcentral lists this ribosomal RNA (1482 nucleotides) under metagenome. RNAcentral describes it as "bacterial SSU rRNA". It matches the Rfam family "Bacterial small subunit ribosomal RNA". The record is from RNAcentral.